CGUCCUCAACUCCCCCUCGAAAUCUCGCCAUGAGCUCGGCCCCCCUUGCCGGCGCCGAUCUCGCGUCGGCGUCGUCCUCGGCGAUGGGCGGCCACCACACCGACCGCUUCUUCAGGGCGCUGGCGGUCGCCUCCGCCUACAUCCUCGUCCGCCGGUGGCGCGCGGCCUCGCCGAGCGGCCGCUGCCGGCGGAGAUCGCCGCCGCGGCUGUGCUCUGCGCUGCGCCUCCGUGGCGUGGCUGUACGUGCUCCCCGCCCUGGGCCUCCGCCGGAGCUCGCACCGAAGUCGGCACCAAGAUUAGUUGAACUGAAAUUGCUGCCCCGUUGCUGGGUCAAGUGACAGAGGCUAUCCUUGUGAUCUUUCCAUGUGCUCCUCAUGUUCAGACUUCAGAGACUGGCACAGAAGACCAGCAAUUGCAUCAAGACUACGUGAUGUGUCCAAGUGGCCAUCAUCUUACGGCUGAUAAGAGGAACACUAGGAUCUCUGAACUUAAGGAUUGGAUCGCACCAGCUUAUUGUUUGUUGGUAACAUCUUGCAGUCUCAUGACUACCCGUGACUGCGGGGCUAAUUGUGAUUUUAAAUAAUGUCAGAAAGCAUGACUAUAAAGGGUCUGCAAUUUUUUUCCAGGUUAUGUAAUUUUUCAUGAGCUUUGUCUGUCUUACAGUUCGAACAGAUACUUGGUUUAAGAAUUUCCAUUAAGAUGCGUGUAACUAGCUCCGAUCCAGACAUACAAGAUUGAACGAAGGUUGUACUAUUCGAUUGGUAUCAAUUGUAUGAUCAUGUAGUGUUUUACGAGUUGUUA
Molecule: long non-coding RNA, 801 nt
Organism: Panicum virgatum (switchgrass)
Lineage: Eukaryota; Viridiplantae; Streptophyta; Magnoliopsida; Poales; Poaceae
Exons: 3
Source: RefSeq, a predicted model, not a curated record